RNAcentral lists this ribosomal RNA (483 nucleotides) under uncultured bacterium. Its description in RNAcentral is "partial 16S ribosomal RNA". It matches the Rfam family "Bacterial small subunit ribosomal RNA", at positions 28 to 523 of the family's 1533-position model. The record is from RNAcentral.
GACGAACGCUGGCGGCGUGCUUAACACAUGCAAGUCGAACGACGAAGCUGGAGCUUGCUCCGGUGGAUUAGUGGCGAACGGGUGAGUAACACGUGAGCAAUCUGCCCUUGACUCUGGGAUAACUGCGGGAAACUGUAGCUAAUACCGGAUAUGAGAUCUGAAGGCAUCUUCGGGUUUGGAAAGAAUUUCGGUCAAGGAUGAGCUCGCGGCCUAUCAGCUAGUUGGUGAGGUAAUGGCUCACCAAGGCGACGACGGGUAGCCGGCCUGAGAGGGUGACCGGCCACACUGGAACUGAGACACGGUCCAGACUCCUACGGGAGGCAGCAGUGGGGAAUAUUGCACAAUGGGCGAAAGCCUGAUGCAGCAACGCCGCGUGAGGGAUGAAGGCCUUCGGGUUGUAAACCUCUUUUAGCAGGGAAGAAGCGAAAGUGACGGUACCCGCAGAAAAAGCACCGGCUAACUACGUGCCAGCAGCCGCCGUAA